GAUGUAAGAAAAAUUACCAACUUGACCCUUAGCCCGAGUAUCAUAUUUGGUUAUUUACUAAAAUCCCCCUUUGGAGGAGAAGGAUGGAUUGUUAGUGUGGAUGAUUUAGAAGAUAUAAUCAGAGGACAUGUAUGGUUAGGUUCCAUUUGUAUACUUGGUGGAAUCUGGCAUAUCUUAACCAAACCCUUCGCAUGGGCUCGACGCACACUUGUAUGGUCUGGAGAGGCUUACAAGGAUGGAUUCUUAUAAUUUAAUCCAUAACAAUUUUCGCAUUGAACCCACAAAUGCCUGUACUUUUGAGUUACCUCGAGAUCAUUAGAACUUUCUCUUAAACCCUCACAGGUACCCUAAGGCGAUGAGAGUUGAGACAAAAUAAAAUAGCCUCUUUGGUGAAAAGCCUCACGGACACCGUGAAGCGAAGGUAAGGCAAGAAGCAACACUCAUAAAGGGGUUGUUGGUGGAAAUCUGCUCAUGAACACUGUAAGUCAAGAAAAGCUAGGAUUUGGUUGAAGGAAUCGGGUUAGAAAUGGUUUCAACAACAAAAGCAUGGAAACAGAAGGUCGGUCAUUGGGACAGACUGGGUUGACUAGGCCGAAGUGCAUGUCAUGAUCAUGAAAAGCAUCUGUUCUUCCUCAGAUAAGUUUUCUUUCUCUUCUUUUCAACAGUCAAUGAAUCUGGAAUUCUUUACCCUAAAUACCGUUCGAGUCAUUGCAUUUUAUUUUUCUUUCGAGUCUCUAAAGUCUUUUGUUUAAGCAAACGAGAGGAAUUUCAAAGACUAUUAUUAGCUCCUGAAGGACCAAACGCAUGACACCCAAAAGUGUAACAAAGAUAAUGAAUGCGGAAUAGCAAGAGGAUGGAUUCAUAAAAACUGCAAUUGAUGGAAGAGACAAGAGUCGUCAAAGUGAAGGAGUACCACACAAAAACGGGCAUGCAAAGUAAAACCACAAAGGUUCUAGGGGUCAACCGAGCAUCAUAAAUGUACCGAGUAAUCUCAGGGAGAGGUGUAAGGAUUUUAGUGAAGGCUCGAAAAUGUAAACACCAAGAUGAGGAACAAAACAAAGCCUCAAGGGUCAGAGGCUCAGCCAAGCAUAAAACCCAAACUCAGUAGUCGUCGGAGAAGGGUAUAAGGCUUCUGGCAAAAGAGGCAAAAGCGCAACACAAAGAGGGAAAAGGUCAUGAGGGUUGACCUAACAUGAUAUAUCAACUCAUCAAUCGUCAGAAAGGGGCAUAAAUAAUUCUGGAAAAAGUGUCAGAAGUGCAACACAAAGUGGGGAGCAAAGUAAAGAGACAAAGGGAAAAGGUCAACCAAACAUCAUAGACAGACCGGGUGAUUUCAAGAAAUGGUGCAAAGAUUUUGGAAAAGGAGCAGAAAUGUAACACAAAGAUGAAGAACAAAGUGAAUCCACAAGUUUCAGAGGGUUGGACAAAGCAUAAUACAUUAAUUCAUCAAUCAUCGGGGUAAGACAUAAAGAAUUCCGACAAAGAAUUAUAAAUGUAAAACAAUGAUGGGGAGAAAGUAAAGCGUAAAGGUUUCGAGGGGUCAGCUGAGCAGUUCAAUGGAACACAACGGAACACGAUAGUGGGGAGGCCGUUUCUAACAAGAAUGCCACAAGCUAACCACCACUCUUCAAAUUGACUAGUUUUCUUUGAUUAACACAGGGGCAGAAAAUUCCAGAAGAGCCUAAGGGAGGCCGCCCACAGGAGAGGACAAGCACAUGGCAGGUAUGAUCAAAACCUCAAGGCCCAUCUGAAAAUGGGACCCAGUUCAAACUCAAAAAGAACAUAGUCCAUCAUAAAUAUCCUUCCCAGCAAAGAGCACAAUGGGACAAACAUUAAUUAGCAAACCCCAAUAGAAACAACCAAUGGUUAAAAGAGGUAUGGAAGUUGAGAUGGAACGCGGUUGUCAUAAGUAUCCUCCCUAGCAAAGAGCACAAGGGGAUAAACUUUAACCAGCAAACCCCAACAGGAACAAUUGAGGGUUAAAAGAAGCAUAGAAAUGGAGAUGGAACGCAGUUUAAAACUCAAACAGGUGCGGGUAACAUGGGCAAGCACCAACACCUUCCCCAGUAAGAGUCGCAGAAACCCUCCUGGACAAUAAUCACUAGCAGAAAGAACCAGAAGUUAGAAUUGGCAUUUAAGUUGGAACCUUCAGGACCCUCCAGGAAAAUGGGACUCAUUUAAAGGUUAGGGGUAAUCAUGGAUAGAAAUGGGCACAAAAUGACUUGCAUGUUGAAGUAGGAUUUAGCUAAGAGUUGUGAGGACCCUCCUGAAAAAUGGGACUUAGCCUAACAACAGAAACAGUCGGGUAACAUGGGCAGGCUCAAAUAUCUCCCAACAAGAGUCAACAAGAGUCGUCAGUACCCGUCUGGAUAAUGGAUUUAAUCGUAGGAGUUGUUAGGACCCCCUAGAUAAUGGAACGUAGCUCUAAAUACUGACCCCCAGCAGACACAGUUGGUCAUCUAAUUAAGAGUUGUUAGGACCCGCCUGGAUAAUGGAAAGUAGUUUUAAUCACCAGUCACCGGCAGACCCCCAGCAAAUAUAACUCAUAACAAGACACAGUAGAAAAUAAUACCUUCCGAGAGACAUAACAUAGUCUUAAAGUUGUCAUCAGAUAAGAAUUGUUAGGACCCUCCUGGAUAAUGGGACUUAGCUUAGAUUUAGAGAUGUUUGGUAAAGGUAUUCGAUUAACACUCACGGGUCUGCCCAGCACCAAACUGAGGCAGAAAGAAAUUUUUGCGUUUUGUUUGUCUUGUUAUGGUCAGGUACAUAGGCAAUCAGGCGUCCACAUGUAGAACAAGGGAAUAUUUUUCAAAAAUUUCAAGUUUUGGCAAUCAGGCGCCCACCUGUAGAAUAAGGGAAUAUUUUUUAAAUUUUCAAGUUUUGAUAAUCAGGAGCCCACCUGUAGAACAAAGGAAUAUUUCUCAAAAUUUCAAGUUUUGAUAAUCAGACAGCCACCUGUAGAACAAGGGAAUAUUUUUCAAAUUUUCAAGUUUUGAUAAUAAGGCGCCUACCUGGAGAACAAGGGAAUAUUUUUCAAAUUUCAAGUUUUGGUAAUCAGGCACCCACUUGGAACAAGGGAAUACCUUUCAAGAUUCAGAUCUGGUAAUCAAGCGCUCACCUGUAGAAUAAGGGAAUAUUUUUCAAAUUUCAAGUUUUGAUAGUCAGGCGCCCACCUUUAGAACAAGGGAAUAAAAGUUUCAAGUUUUCAUAAUCAGGAGCCCACCUGUAGAACAAGGGAAUAUUUUUCAAAACUUCAAGUUUUGAUAAUCAGGCGCCCACCUGGAGAACGAAGCAAUAUUUUUCAAAUUUCAAGUUUUGGUAAUCAGGCGCCCACCUGUAGAAUAACGGAAUAUUUUUCAAAUUUCAAGUUUUGGUAAUCAGGCGUUCACAUGUAGAACAAGGAAAUAUUUUUCAAAUUUCAAGUUUUGGCGAUCAGGCGCCCACCUGUCAGAAUAAGGGAAUACUUUCAAAUUUCAAGUUUUGGUAAUCAGUCGCCCACCUGUAGAACAAGAGAAUAUUUUUCAAAAUUUCAAGUUUUGGCAAUCAGGCGCCCAUCUGUAGAAAAAGGGAAUAUUUUUUCAAAAUUUCAAGCUUUGAUAACCAGGCGCCCACCUGUUGAACAAGAGAAUAUUUCAAAAUUUCAAGUUUUAGUAAUCAGGCGUCCACCUGUAGAACAAGGGAAUAUUUUUUAAAAUUUCAAGUUUUGAUAAUCAGGCGCCCACCUGUAGAACAAGGAAAUAUUUUUCAAAGAUGCAAGUCUUGGCGAUCAGGCGCCCACCUGUAGAACAAGGGAAUAUUUUUCAAAAUAUCAAGCUUUGAUAAUCAAGAGUCCAUCUGUAGAACAAGGGAAUACAUGUCAAGUCCAACAAUUCGGGAACAAACAUAGAAGAAAAGAAGGCAAGGAGUCAAUAAGGCGACAAUGAGUUUACAGGAAGGAAUGCUAGUCAACAAGGCAGCAACGAGUUCAUAGAAAGAAAUACAAGGCAACAAAGCAACAAGGAUCAAAAGAAGAUUGAAGACAUAGAUAUGUUCUUUUGUAAUCUGUAGUUCAUAGCUUAGUCUAGUUCUUCUUAUUUUUCACGAGGUGUAAUAAGGAGGUCGCAAGCAGUAACAGCAGCACAAGUAGUGAAAUCAUAGCUCGUGGUAGUCCCAGCUACCAAACACUGCAGAAGAACACUAACCUGAUUCCUUUAUAGCCAAGGAUAUGUAGGCAACUUUUGAAGCAAGGUUCGGUCAGACAGUUUUCAAAAUGCUUCUCAUGGAAUUCAAAGUAGGAAAAAAUCUCUCAGUUGCUCAUUUAUUUUUGCCCAGAAAUCUUUCGUGUCUCCGAACAAAUAGGGGUAGCUGUGAGCAUGUGAUUUUUGCCUCGCUUGGCAUGUUCCUAUAAAAUUCAUUAAGUUAGGAUUUUCUAUUAUUAAUUAAAAGUUUUGUGUGAUUUUGUGUUUAUUUGCACUUUUUUAUUAUUUGAAUUUUUAGGAAUUAAUUGUGUGACUUGGUUUAUUUGCGUCUUUCUUUUAUUAUUUUAAUUUUUAGGAUUUAUUUGCGUGAUUUUGUGAUUGUUUGAAUUUUAAGAAUUAAUUGUAUAAUUUUAUGUUUAUUUGCAUGUUGCACGUUUUAAUUUACAUAAUUCAUAAAAAAUAUAAAAAAUGGCAUGCUUGCAUCUAGGAUUUAAAUUUUACAUUUUUUAGGUUAUUAAUUAGUUAAUAUUGAAAAUGAGGAAAAAAUAACAAAAAUUGGUUAAUUUUCUUUGAAAUUUAGAAUUUAGGAGUUUAUUUAGUCAAUUUCUUGUUAAAUAUGUUUUUGGCUAUUUUUAUUUUUAUUUUUACUUUUUUAUUAAAAAUCUGAAAAAAAAAUAAUGAAACAAAAAUAUAUAAAAAGAGAAUCAUUGAUUGCAUACUAAUAUGGGUCUUUAAGAGAGAAAAUUUGGCCCAAACCUCCCAGUCUAGCAGACCCAGCCCAAUCCCCCCCCCNNNNNNNNNNNNNNNNNNNNNNNNNNNNNNNNNNNNNNNNNNNNNNNNNNNNNNNNNNNNNNNNNNNNNNNNNNNNNNNNNNNNNNNNNNNNNNNNNNNNNNNNNNNNNNNNNNNNNNNNNNNNNNNNNNNNNNNNNNNNNNNNNNNNNNNNNNNNNNNNNNNNNNNNNNNNNNNNNNNNNNNNNNNNNNNNNNNNNNNNNNNNNNNNNNNNNNNNNNNNNNNNNNNNNNNNNNNNNNNNNNNNNNNNNNNNNNNNNNNNNNNNNNNNNNNNNNNNNNNNNNNNNNNNNNNNNNNNNNNNNNNNNNNNNNNNNNNNNNNNNNNNNNNNNNNNNNNNNNNNNNNNNNNNNNNNNNNNNNNNNNNNNNNNNNNNNNNNNNNNNNNNNNNNNNNNNNNNNNNNNNNNNNNNNNNNNNNNNNNNNNCCCCCCCCCCCCCUCAACCCAGUCCAGCCCCGGAGACGCCUAAACGACGUCGUAUCUCCCAAAGUGAUCUCAACCGUCAAGGUUGAUCGAUCCAACGAAUGAGAACUAGACUGACUCUAAUAUAAAAUUAUCUAAAAACCCCCCACCCACCCCUCCAAACCAUCUACCAUAUACCCCAAUUACGAUAGUAUAUCACCACCAUUCGCCGCCUUCCUGCCACAAUCCGACGCCGGCCGGAUAUCGUCGGCAACGGCGAUACUCUAAACGACCUCAAAUUCACACCACAGCUUCCCUGCCACCCCCUCUUCCCAAAUCCCAACUUUGCUUCUCUCGAAUUUCUGCCGAGCUCUUCGAAUAUAUGAUUAUGUGGUCACAGUUUCCACCACCCAUGGCGGCGUUAUUCCCAAACCCUCCCAGAUUUAUAUCCAUGCACCCUCGUGACCUCUCCUUCCUAGUCCUAUAAUUUUUUGGGUUCGAAUCAUACCACAUCUCCUCAAAUUUUAGUUUGAACCGUCCAGCCAAAAUACAACCCUUCCCAAAAUCCGCCAAAUUAACACCAUAGACUCUCCUCACACCCCUCAUCUUGAAUCCACAACCCUCAGUCCUCGAAUCCUUCCCGAUAAGGUCAAACUUCAAAUCAAAAAAUUGGACCUAGAACCCUAGUUGUUCAAGCUUUGGGAUAUCCUUGAUUUUGGGCUUUAAUAUCCCUUAGUCUUGUGUUUUCCAGUGGAAAACACACGAUUAAGGACGGUUUGACCCCGAAAAUGCCGAGAAAUUCGUCGGUGUUUGAGCCUGAAUCAGAGUCCGAGGUAUUUUGCUUUUACUUUUUAUUUCCUUUUAUGAUUCCUAUUUUCGUUUCGUUGUUUUGUUCCAUUGUUAUUUUUGUGAUUAGUUUAGGACUUCACUUCAAUUUUUUGUUUCUUUUUCCUACCAUAAAGUUUAUAUUUAUUAGUAAUGCGAAUAGGUUCGAUUUGAUUCCAUGUAUUGUUGGGUUUGUUUAUUCUGCAUAAUGAGUUCUAGUUGUUCUUCUUGUUGGCUGGUUUAAUUUUAGUUCUUUGAUACAAUUAAAUUCAUUAGAGGUUAAUCUCCAUUUGUUUAGCUAGGGUAGUUAGAUUGAAUGUUGGUUACAGCUGGGAAAUUUCUAGGUCAUGAGCUAAUUGACCAUGGUUAGCUGACUAGCGUAAGAGGGAGCUGAAAAUGCAACUAUGUCAUUUAGGUAAUUCUUGGAAGAGGUAGGGGUAAUAUAAGUAAUCCAGCUUGAGGAGCAUGUAGUCACUAUCCUUAGAAACUUCUAGAAUAUGGGUCAAAUUGAAAUUCAGACCUUUUGUUUUGUUAUAACUUGGGUAGCAAGCUAGAAAAUAAGGGACUAAGGUAGUAAAUCUGAAAAUGGGACAAGGAAUAGAGGCCAACUUAAACAAUCUGAAGUGAGCCCUAAUAGUUGGCAUAUAAGGCAUCAAUCUUUCUUAGGAGAGGGGAUUUUUUAAAAGGAACUUACUGAAAAUCUGAGAGUGAAACAAAAAAAAAAGCCGAAAACUCCAAAUAUACAGGCUGAAAAAACCCCAAAAUAUAGAAGUUUGAUUAGAGAGUUUAAAAAUCCAGAAAAAUGCUACUGUUUCAUUGAAUGAUCUCCGAAAUUCUUGUGGGAUCUACUCUAUAACAAAUUUUAAGCAAGCUGAUAGCUAAAAUGAGCUGAGAUAGGUGGUAUCCAAGUGUUGGGAUCAUUUUGGUCGAAAUCCGAUUUGGUGCUUUGAGUGACCUUGUGUGAAUUUGAAAUUGUUCAAAGUAGUGUCCGAUAGCUAUUCCAGGGUUGGUUUUGCUGUUGGAUUGCUCCUGUUGCUGCUCUUCUACUGUUUCCUUAUUUCUCUGCCUUCUUUUGCUAUUUUCAGGUAUAUUCCAGCCCCUUGGAGCCCAUUUAAGCAUGUAAAUUGAAGUAGUGAUUUGAGGAACAAAUGUAUACAUUAUUAUUGUUGUGUCUCAUUUCAUUUUAUAGCUCUUGAAGUUGAAUUCAUGAAAUUUCUAAAGUAAGUUGUAUUUGGUUGGAUUGUGCAGUCAUGUAAUAGCUUCCCUUCUGAUACCACCAAUCAGACGGUACAGUAGUGUAGAUUUGGGUUAUGUGUAUACUAUUUAUUUGAGUCGCCUUAUUCCAUUGAGUUUAGUCUUGUUAUAGUUGUAGUUUGAUCCUUGGCAUCGCUAUAAUUUAAUCGUGGUUACAAUUUCGGACUUCAUGUGCUGAAUGCAUCUUCCAGGAAGUUAUGAUGUUAGAUUAGUUUAAACAAAUCCAUAUUAGUCUUAAAUUUGUUGUACGUUUGAGUUUCAGUUGCUUGUUUUCUUCUGGAUGAUGGAUCUACUGAGUUGGGCUUCACUUAGGAGCCCAACUAUUUUCAUAUGUGAGAUUUCUCGUGAUGACUGUUAGCGUGUCCUCGUGAGUCUGGGCCUAAUUGGAGAACUUUCCUUCAAAUGUAACUAAGACUCAAUCUAAUAGGUCGGGCCAUUGUCUUCCUUGCAUUGGAAGAAUUAAUAGAUAACAAACUGAUAUGGCACUCCAGGCAUUUUAUUUUAAGUGUCCAUUAAAAUGGACUCCAGGUGUGCCGCGCCAAUUAAAAAUCACAAAUGCGUGGCCUACUCUAGUUAUGGCUUUAAAAAUAAUUAGAGAUUCAGGACACGCCAUUUAGCGAAUUUCACGGCUUUCCCGCAAAGAUAAUAAUAUGUUAGUCGCUUUUAGGCGCGUCUUUAACAAUUUUAUCUUCUUAAGUCCGGAUGCGCAUUUAUGUGACCCAAAUCCAAAUCUCAACGAAGUUGAAAUGUGUCUAAAACCGCGGGUGCAUUUAUGUGAUGUGGCUCGAGACACGUUUUAACGACGUUGUAAUCCUCUUUAAAAUAAUAAUAAUAAUAAUAAUAAUAAUAAAGUGGUCAAAAUAUUUAAAAUGCACAUAGGUUCAUAAUUGUGUAAAAUCAUAUGGUUGAAGCCAAAUAUAACAGUUGAGCAACCAUGCAAGAACCAUGGAACCCGGGAAUGCCUAACCCCUUCUCCCGGGUUAAUAGAAUUCCUUACCCGGAUUUCUGGUUUGCAGACUAUUAAACAAAGUCAUUUUUUCCUCGAUUCGAGAUUCUAAAACUUGGGACACCAUAAAUCUCCCAAGUGGCGACUCUGAAAUUCUCUUAAAUAACUGAAUCCAUUUCGAUUAUCCUGUAACUAAAAAACUCCCUUAUCUACGCCCUUCACUGGGUUGUAGUAGCCAAAAGGAGGUGUGACACUUAUCGCUUCUGCGGUUUCUCAUCAAUGACACAGGGCCACAUCUGUGGCAAAAUUCUCGUAGGUGCGUAACCGCAUCUGCAGUUAAUCUUCCGCACCUACGGAAAAGCUGAGGGAGCCCAAAUUCCGCUCCUGUGAUAGGAUAGCUGCUUAUGCGGCUCCGCUUCUGCGGUACCCAAGCCGCAGAAGUGAAAAUACCAUAAGAGAAGAAUCAGUUGCUGCAACACUUAAAAAAUUUCUCCGUUAACCACCUGAAAUCAUCUCGAGGCCCCUGAGACUUCAACCAAAAGCAUCAAUAACACCAAAUACCCUAUUCGAACUUGUACAAAUCCUUAAACACCUAAAAUAACACCGGAAAUUCGAUUUAAUCAAUUAUUUAAGCCUAAGAACUUCAAAUUUCAUCAAAAUACACUUUCGAUCAAAAUCCUAACCAAAACACGCCCGAAUGACCUGAAAUUUUGCACACACAUCCCAAAUGACAUGAUUGUGCUACUACAACUUUCGGAAUUCCAAUCUGACCCUCGGAUCAAAAACUCACUAUCGGACCGGAAACUUCAAAAAUUCAAACUUUGGCAUUUCAAGCCUAAAUAAGGUAAGGCAAGCUCGUAAGCAACCUCCCCAACUCGCCUCAAAAUCUCAAAAGGGCAAAUAACUCUCUGGAUCAACUUCCCUUUCUUCCCAAACCUCAUGACGCCUUUCAUAGGCGAGACCCGAAGUAGGACCCGCUCACCAACCAUAUGGUAAACAUCACGAACCUUCCGAUCUGCGUAAAUCUUCUGUCGGGACUGGGCUGUAUGGAGUCUGUCCUGAAUCACCUUAACCUUCUCCACCGCAUUCUAGACCAAAUCAGUGCCCAAUAGCCUGGCCUCACCCGGCUCAAACCAACCCACCGGGAUCUGCAUCUCUUACCAUAUAAAGCCUCAUACGACGCUAUCUGAAUUCUAGACUGAUAAAUGUUGUUGUAAGCAAACUCCGCCAGUGGCAAGAACUGAUCCCAAGACCCUCCAAAAUCAAUCACACACGCACGUUGCAUAUUCUCAUAAAUCUAAAUGGUGGCUCGAACUAUCCGUCCGUCUGGGGGUGAAAUGAUGUGCUCAUCGCCACCUAAGUACGCUACUCCUAUUGAACGACUCUCCAGAACCGUGAUGUGAACUGAGUAAUUCCGUCUGAAAUGAUAGAAACUGGAAUACCAUGUAGACAAACAAUCUCCCAGAUAUAAAUCUAUGUCAAUCGCUCCAAUGAAUAAGUAGUACACAUAGGGAUAAAAUGUGCGAACUUGGUUAGCUGGUCCACAAUCACCCAAAUGGCAUCAAACUUCUUCACUGUCCGAGGGAGACCAACUACAAAAUCCAUGGUGAUCCUCUCCCAUUUCCACUCCGGAAUCUCUAUCUGCUGAAGGAACCCACCUGGUCUCUCGUGCUCAUACUUCACCUGCUGACGGUUGAGGCAUCUAGCUACAUAUCCAACUAUAUCCUUCUUCAUCCGCCUCCACCAAUAGUGUUGUUUCAGGUCUUGAUACAUCUUCAUGGCACCAGGGUGGAUGGAAUACCACGAACUAUGGGCCUCUGCUAGAAUCAACUCCCGUAGCCCAUCAACAUUGGGCACACAAACACGGCCCAACAUCCUCAACACCCCAUCAUCUCCAACGGUCACCUCUCUGGCAUCGACAUGCUGAACCGUGUCCCUCCAAUGGUCACCUCUCGGCAUCGCCAUGCUGAACCGUGUCCUUAAGGAUAAAUAAAUGAGGGUCAUUAUACUGUCGCUCCCUAAUACGAUCGAACAAUGAAGACCGAGAAACCACGCAGGCUAGAACCCGACUGGGCUCCAAAAGAUCCAAUCUCACAAACUGACUAGCUAAGGCCUGAAAAUCCAUCUCCAUAGAUCUCUCUGAAGCUGGUAAAUAAGAAAAAACUCCCCAAAAUCUCCGCCCGACGACUCAAGGCAUCUGCUACCACAUUGGCCUUGCCCGAGUGAUAUAGAAUAGUGAUAUCAUAGUCCUUUAGCAACUCUAACCACCUCCUCUUGCACAAAUUUAGACCCUUCUGCUUGAACAAAUGCUGCAAACUUCUAUGAUCAGUAUAAAUCUCACAAGGCAGACCGUACAAAUAAUGACACCAAAUAUUCAAGGCAUGAACAAUAGCAGCUAACUCAGGGUCGUGGACGGGGUAAUUCUUCUCAUGUAACUUAAACUAUCUGGACGCGUAGGCAGUCACCCUACCGUCCUGUAUAACCACUAAUCAAAGGCCAACCCAUGAGGCAUCACAAUAGACUGUAUAAGAUCACGAACCAGUAGGCAAUAUCAGAAUAUGGGCUGUAAUCAAAGCCGGUUUGAGCUUCUGAAAGCUUGCCUCACACUCCCAUGUUCGAUAAAAUAGAGCACCCUUAUAGGUCAAUCUAGUCAUAAGGGCUGCAAUCGAUGAAAACCCCUCCAUAAAACGACGGUAAUAACCCAACAAGCCAAGGAAACUGUGAAUCUUUGUGGCUGAGGAUGGCCUGGGCGACCUCUCCACGGCCUCUAUCUUCCUAGAAUCUACCUGAAUACCCUCACUCAAAACCACAUGGCCGAAGAAUGCCACUGAAUCCAACCAAAACUCACAUUUUGAGAACUUCGCAUAUAACUUCUUCUCCAAAAAACUGUGAAUCUAUGUAGCUGAGGAGGGCCUGGGCCAACUCUUCACGGCCUCUAUCUUCCUUGAAUCUACCCAAAUGCCCUCGCUUGAAACCACAUGGCCUAAAAAUGCCAUUGAAUCCAACCAAAACUCACAUUUUGAGAACCUCGCAUAUAACUUCUUCUCCCUUGGGGUCUGAAGCACGGCCCUCAGGUGCUGCUCAUGAUCUUCCUGACUUCGGGAAUACACCAUAAUAUCAUCAAUAAAAACAAUAACGAAUGAGUCGAGAUAUGGCCUGAAUAUAUUGUGCAUCAAAUGCAUAAAAGCUGCUGAGGCAUUGGUCAGCACAAAUAACAUAACAAGGAACUCGUAAUGACCAUACCGAGUCCAAAAGGCAAUCUUCGGGAUAUCUGGCUCCCGAAUAUUCAAUUGAUGGUAACAUGAGCGCAAGUCAAUCUUAGAAAACACAUUUGCGCCCUGAAGCUGGUCAAACAGAUCAUCAACACAAGGCAAAGGAUAAUGGUUCUUCACGGUAACCUUGUUCAACUGGCGAUAAUCAAAACACACAUGCAUUGAACCAUCCUUCUUCUUCACAAACAAGACAGGACACCCCACAGUGAAACACUGGGUGGAAUAAAACCUUCGUCAAGCAAUUUCUGUAACUGAUCCUUCAAAUCCUUCAACUCAGGAGGAUCUAUACGAUAUAGAGGAAUGGAAAUGGGCUGAGUGCCCGGCAAUAGAUCAAUGCCAAAAUCAAUGUCUCUAUCAGGCGGCAUGCCCUAAAGAUCAGCUGGAAAUACAUCGAGAUAAUCCCAUACCACUGGGACAGAAUCAACAUAAGGGGUAUCCAUACUGACAUCUCUCACAUAGGCUAAAUACGCUGCUCACCCCUUCUCAACCAUACGCUGAGCUUUAAGGAAAGAGAAAACUCUACUGGGAGUGUGAUCUAAAGUACCACUCCACUCAAUAUGCUGAAUACCUGGCAUAGCCAGCAUCACGAUCUUGGCGUGACAAUCAAGAAUAGCAUAAUGGGGCAACAACCAGUCCAUGAACAAGAUAAUAUCAAAAUCAACCAUGUUGAGUAACAAUAAAUCUGCCCUAGUCUCAAAACCAUGAACAGUAACCAAACACGACCAAUAAACGCGGUCCACAACAAGAGAAUCUCCCACAAUAGUAGAAACAUAAACAAGGGCACUCAAAGAAUCCCGAGGUACACCCAAAUGCGGAGCAAAGUAAGAAGACACAUAAGAAAUAAGUAGAGCCCGGAUCGAAUAGAACUGAUGCCUCUCUAUAGCAAGCCAAUAUAAUACCUGUGAUAUAGAAUCGGAGGCAACAGCCUCGGCACGAGCAAGAAGGGCAUAAUAUCUGGCCUGGCCUUCCCCUCCCCCCUCCCCCGAGGGCAACCUCUACCUCCUCGGCCUCCACCUCUAGCUGGCUACGGGUGGGGCGGCAACUGGGGUUGUAACCAUAGCCUGAGAUCUCUGCGGGGCAUGUUGUGGCUGAGCAGUCUGUGAAGAUGCACCCUUACCAAGUCUGGGGCAGUCCCAAACGACAUGGCGUGUAUCACCACACUCUAAAAAAUCUCUGGGAGGACGCGGUGGUUGUGAAUGACUAGGGCUAGGUCUGUUGGACUGACCCAUGGAAACACCCCGUGCAGGAGGCUCGCUAGAACCCAGAGGUGCAUAAUAAGGCUCAUGAGGCACAGGCGGAGCUGGAGCACUGCUGGAUGCCGGAAGAGAUGAAUGAACGGGGCGACCCACAAAACCCCUACCAUGUCGACCUGUUGCUGGGGUACAGGUACCAAAAUAGUGGACCGACUCCCGAGACCUCUUGGCCUCUCUCUCCUCUCGCCCCCUAGCGUGCAUACUCUCAAUCCUUAUAGCAAUGCUCACUACCUGCUGAUAAGGAAUGUCCAUCUCCAACUCUCGAGCAAUGCUAGAUCUAAUAGGUGGGAUAAGACCCUCAAUGAACCUACAAACUCUCUCACGGACUAUAGCAACCAAAGCCGGUACAGGCCUGGCCAAUUUGGUAUACAGAUAGUAUACUCCAAAACCGUCAUAUCACCCUGGUGCAAAUGCUCAAACUCGGCGCCCAUGCGUUCUUGAGACUCUGGGGGACAAACUCUCUCAUAAACAUAUCCAAGAACUAGGUCCAAGUCAGUGAAGCAGCCUCGACUGAACUGUCAAUAUCAUAAGUGCGCCACCAAUCAUAGGCGGCUCCCCGAAGCUGAAAGGUAGUAAAGGAAACCCCGCUGGACUCUACUAUGCCCAUAAUGUGAAGAAUACGGUGGCACUCCUCUAGAAAUACCAAGGCAUCAUCUGUCGAUAGUCCACUGAAACCAGAGGAUCAUACUUCUUGAACCUCUCCAACCUCCACUACUCAUCCUCAGAAGCAGUUGCCCCAUCCACGGGCUGAACUAGCACUGCGGGCGGAACAAGAAUGAUCUCUAGAUCCUGCUCAACCUGCACUUGCUGCUCAUGAGUGCGGAUGGUGGGAGUCUGUGCUCCUCCCCUGGUCUGGGAUGUGGCUGCACUAAGGGAAAGCAACCCUACAUGAGCCAAGGUGGUGUACAUAGACAUGAGCUGAGCCAACGUCUCCUGAAGGGCUGGAGUAGUAGUGGCAGUAGUAGGCAUGCCAGGUGCCUGGGCUCCGGCUGGACCUGCUAGUAGUGCCUCGGCGGUAGCUCGCGUAGGUGCUCUAGCUGCACCACGUGCGAGUCCUCGACCUCUGCCCCGGCCCCAGCCUCGGACAGCUGUAAUAGGGGCGCGAGUGCCCGAUCAUCUCGAAAAGUGUGUGUCCUCAUCAUCUGUGAGAGAAUAAAAGACAGAAGUUUAGAUCCAAUGUCAAAAAAUAUUGCACGACAAGGAAAUAAUUGAAGCAAAGAUUCUUCCUGAACAGUUACAUAGCCUUUCAUAGAUAAGUACAUACGUCUCGGUACCGAUCAGCGAGACUCUAAUAAACUGACAUGUGUUCCGUGACUCCAAUAAACCUAGAGCUCUAAUACCAGCUUGUCACGAUCCAAGUUCACCCUCCAUGAACCUGUCGUGAUGGCACAUAGUUCCUACAACUAGGUAAGCCUAACAAUGCGGAAACUUAAUAUAACUUGUGGAAACAUUUAAUUAAAGUAAGCAAAAACUAGAAGAAAAACGAUAUAUAAAUGCCACUUGGCAUAUACAACUCCAAAAUAAAUGCGGAAGUCUACAACUCAAUCCCAAAACCCGAAAUCUCACGGGAACCACAUGAUAAUAGAAAAGUAACAUACUGUUCUAACUCCAGAAUGUCUAAACAACUGAAAUAAAAGGAAGGAAUAACUACUAAAGCUGGAACAGAAUAGAGACUCCUAGUCAACGGACGCAGCAGAUAUACUUCAAAGUCUCCUCUAGAUCUCUUCGCCUCGAUGGUAGUAUGCCUGAGUGGAGGUACCUAGAUCUGCACAUGAAAAACAUGCGCAAAAUGGGCAUGAGUACACCACACGGUACUCAGUAAGUGUCAAGCCUAACCUUGGUCGGGUAAUGACAAGAAAGGUCAGGGCCUUACUGAGAUUAAACAAUAUAAUAAAAAUCCUGACAACAGUAUACAGUAAGCAGAAACAAUGGAAUACAACUGUGAAGUAAGUCAGGUUACACAACAACAAUCAACACACAGAGGAUAAAAUAACACAGAGUACAACAACUCAAUAUCAACACCAAUUACGAGGAUCUUCCAAGAUAUCGUCAUGUAGUCCAUUUCCAUGGCAAUACCAACAAUGAGGAUUU
RNAcentral lists this long non-coding RNA (15009 nucleotides) under Nicotiana benthamiana. RNAcentral's name for it is "long non-coding RNA (NBEN_LNC009426)". The record is from RNAcentral. Lineage: Eukaryota; Viridiplantae; Streptophyta; Magnoliopsida; Solanales; Solanaceae.